Molecule: ribosomal RNA, 685 nt
Filed under: Vibrio sp. a260
Lineage: Bacteria; Pseudomonadati; Pseudomonadota; Gammaproteobacteria; Vibrionales; Vibrionaceae
Description: bacterial SSU rRNA
Rfam family: Bacterial small subunit ribosomal RNA
Source: RNAcentral
CACACUGGACUGAGACACGGUCCAGACUCCUACGGGAGGCAGCAGUGGGGAAUAUUGCACAAUGGGCGCAAGCCUGAUGCAGCCAUGCCGCGUGUGUGAAGAAGGCCUUCGGGUUGUAAAGCACUUUCAGUCGUGAGGAAGGUGGUGUAGUUAAUAGCUGCAUUAUUUGACGUUAGCGACAGAAGAAGCACCGGCUAACUCCGUGCCAGCAGCCGCGGUAAUACGGAGGGUGCGAGCGUUAAUCGGAAUUACUGGGCGUAAAGCGCAUGCAGGUGGUUUGUUAAGUCAGAUGUGAAAGCCCGGGGCUCAACCUCGGAAUAGCAUUUGAAACUGGCAGACUAGAGUACUGUAGAGGGGGGUAGAAUUUCAGGUGUAGCGGUGAAAUGCGUAGAGAUCUGAAGGAAUACCGGUGGCGAAGGCGGCCCCCUGGACAGAUACUGACACUCAGAUGCGAAAGCGUGGGGAGCAAACAGGAUUAGAUACCCUGGUAGUCCACGCCGUAAACGAUGUCUACUUGGAGGUUGUGGCCUUGAGCCGUGGCUUUCGGAGCUAACGCGUUAAGUAGACCGCCUGGGGAGUACGGUCGCAAGAUUAAAACUCAAAUGAAUUGACGGGGGCCCGCACAAGCGGUGGAGCAUGUGGUUUAAUUCGAUGCAACGCGAAGAACCUUACCUACUCUUGACAU